AUUAAAUCUUUAUGUUUUCUUCGUAUAAUCUUGGGGAUAUGGCCCAAAAGUUUCUACCGAGCUGCCGUAAAUAGCUUGACUACGAGGUGCAAACAGAUAGAU
RNAcentral lists this non-coding RNA (102 nucleotides) under Pseudobacillus badius. Its description in RNAcentral is "Bacillus badius Guanine sequence". It matches the Rfam family "Purine riboswitch aptamer". Rfam says of the family: Riboswitches are metabolite binding domains within certain messenger RNAs that serve as precision sensors for their corresponding targets. Allosteric rearrangement of mRNA structure is mediated by ligand binding, and this results in modulation of gene expression. Lineage: Bacteria; Bacillati; Bacillota; Bacilli; Caryophanales; Bacillaceae. The record is from RNAcentral.